AGAGGCGGAUGAAACCACGGGAAAGGACUCGGGGCUGAAAUCAACACACUUGACUGGGUUUGGGGAGCUAAGUCAAUCAGCAGUCGCCCGAAAAAGAACUCCGAAAAAGGAAAAUAAAAGGGGAAAAAAAGAGUUCCUCAGGUCAUUCCCCUGCCCAACUUCCUCAGCGGCCCGGUGGGCGAGGCAGUGAGACUUCCACCGCCCGCUCCCAGCCUCUGCCUCCCCCACCCUCCCGGCUCCCUCCCGGCCUAGGCGGCCGCCCGACACCUCACUUACCCUCGGAGCCUGGCGGGUGCUUUGGCCACGGGCCGCCUCCGCCUCUCCCGCUCCCUACGGCCCGCGGGCGGGCGCGGAACCCUCGCGCGGGAGAGCAGGGCCGGCAGGUGAGAGCCGAGAGAGGCGAGGGACUCUGCUUUCGGUAAAUAGGAAGCCCGGUUGGGGGGGCAGGAGCGGCGGCCCCGCAACUUCCCUCCCCGCCUCGAGCGCCGCCGGCCGGGCCCAGGCCUAGCUCUCGCUGGCCGCCACUGCUGGAGCUGGUAACAGAGCCUGCUGUGUGCCCCCGCUGGGCCGCCGCCGCCUCCUGCGCCGCCGCUUCCGCCGGUGAAUGGUCAGUGCUGGAGUUUGAACAGGGCCCUGAACCAUCUCAACGCCAUUUGCGCUCCCGGCCCCCACCUCCUUCCUCCAACAGCCGCUCGCUCCGUCACUCCGCUUCCCACAGUCCCCGCGCGGCCGCCCGACCCCGCAGCCAAUCGCGCAGCCGCUUACUCAAACCGCCGCGCAGGCGCUGCGCCCCGCAUGCUCCGGCGCCCGCCAUUGGCCCGGCCGCGGAGCCCGACGGGAGUUGUAGUCCAGGUCCGCGAGGUCGCGGGCCGAGGACCAGGCGCGGGAGCGGGAGCGGGCGACUGGCCGGGCCCUCCCGGUCUCGGCAGCCACUUCUAGCUCCCGGCCCAGCCGGGAGACGCAGGUGCCACGGAGAUGGGCAGCCGGGCGGGUGGCGCAGUGCAGGCAGCUGUAUCAAUCGCUUCCCCUCCAGGGACCCGCCGGUGCCUGGGGACCGCGGGCUGUGCAGCUGUGCCGGGCCUGCGGAGGCCGCCGCCCGGGAGCUGGGAGGCAGGGGGCGCGUGGUCAAGAGCCGCCCUCGACCUGGCCUGGUCGGUCCUGGCCCGGCGUAGGUGACGAUGGCGGGGACCGCGAGGCGCCGGACACCCGAGGCCACGAGCAGCGUCGCCCCUCGCUUUUUCGCGCCCCUCCAGCCCUGCAGUCCUUCCUCUAAGUCCGUCUGCCCCUCACCGAUUGAAAGUGGCCCCGAGAAUAUUGGAUGAGUGAUCUGGUGUCAGGACUGUAAAAUACGCCUAUGAAAACUGGGGGAGAGGAAUAAAACAAGCUGGCAGAACGUUUUUCAUCGUUGAAGCUGCGUGAUGCGAGCAUAUGUGCUCAUCAUACAGUCUCUUUACUUGUGUAUCUGAAAUUUUCCAUAAUAAAAAGUUUAAAGAAGUGAACCAGCGAUUGCCUCUAGGGAGGACAGUGAGGUGGCGGAUGACGGGAGGAAGGAGUCUUAAUUUUUCGCUGUACGCCUUUUUGUGCUAUCUUAGGUUUUUCCCAUUCAAUGUGUUACCUAAUUCAGAAAAUUGGUAAGUUUUUUUUAAGGCUACCAUGGGAAAACAGCGUUCUAAAGAGUAGCGCAACCAGUUCCCCCUAAGAGAGGUGCAUGAUUCGUCGGACUCCGACAGCCUUGGUGUUUGUUAGGCGGUUAAUGGAGACCCACCUGGGAAAUUAGAAAACUACUAAUUGCUUUCAGUGAGAAGCCCGCCCUUCUCCCACAAAUGGAUAAUUUGCUUUUAAUGCACCCAGAAGUUAUCCAGCUCCCUCCGGUAUAAUCGGGGAAACUCCAAAUAAAGGAAAAAUAGUUCAGAGACCCUGCAGCUCUUCCCAAGAGGAAUUUAAGGUGGAUUUUAGUGUGGUUGGAUUGUUUUGCCUACCUGACUGCAGAAUUUAUAUUCUGACAUUUACAAUUUCCUAAAUACUGAAUCAGUACUUUUUCUUGUUUCAAAAUAAAUCAACUUCUUCUGUAGUUUAUAUGAAAAACAAGUCCAUGUCUUCCACUGUGGGUGGGAUGCACAUGACUGUUUUAUUUGGGUCAGUUUUGUCUCUUUUUUUAAUUGGCAGUUUAGGAACUUGUUUUUAUCAUUUUGUUUAAAGAUCUUCUGGCAGAGGUGCAGGCUGCACUUACUAUAAUUAUUUAGAUGACAAGGUGGUGGGUGGUAAUUAAAGGGUAAUUAUCAUCAGAGGCAAAAGGUAAGAUCAAAAAACCAGAAGAGGUGAGGAAACAAUUGCAAGAUCUUCCUGUAGGAGGGUGUCGUGAUCCUCCCAAGACCAAAGGAUAUGUCUAUUAUGCCUGGCCUCUCUAGUGCUGGACACUUGGCAGGGUCAGUGCCUGCAUGAGGCUGAAGUGGAAGGGCUUAUUGUUUAGACUGGUGCCUUUUGAGGGCUUUUAUGUGAUGGUUGUGUUAAGUAAUGAAACUUAGUAGUGUCAAAUUCUUGCCACUCAAAGAAUGAUCCCCAAUCAGCAGUGUAGCAUCACCUGGAAGCCUGUAAGGAACGCAUAAUUCCUAUCCCUCACCCCAGCUCCACUGAAUCAGAACCUGCAUUUUAACAGGAUUCCCCCAGCUGAUUGGGCUGCACAUUAAAGUUUGACAAGCACUGAUUUAAAGUAUACCCAUAGCAUUUGACAGCAAUCUAGUAUUUUUCGUUAGGAUGAGGGAGAGGAAGGGAGAUGAUUAAGAACCUCCUAUGCAUCAGGUAAGAUGCUAGGCUGUUCAGGGGCCUUGUCUGCUUCCCAGUCCAUUACUCUAUCUUACAAGUAAGGAAAUGGGAAGACUUGUAUGUUACAACUAAUGAGGGAGUCAAACUUUUUCUUGACGGUUGGAUACCCUUUAGUACUUCUUGGUGUUCUUGAAUCUGGUAGAAAGUGGUACAUGAUUUGAGAAGUAAAGUGUGUGUGAGUGUGUGUGUGUGUGUGUGUGUGUGUGUGUAUUUAGUCUGUGGAAGCUUAGUAUAUGAAUAUUAAGCAGAGCUCUUCUGGGCUCUGUACCCUUGUGUGGCUCACACUAAAGACACCCCUCGGGCCCCUCCUGGAGGGAGUUCAGACUCCUGGCCCUGCAGGCUGUACCACCACCUUAACCCCUUACCUCCCUGCUUCCACUGAGGCAAGCAAAUGCCCUGAAGUCCCCUCAUUCCCUUACCAGGGCCCUGGGUUCCACACCAGAAUGAGCAAACAGAACUCCAGUGUGGGUAACACAUGGCUGAACAGCUUUUUGUUGUAUUGUUUUUGUUUUCUUAGUUCUCUCAGCUCAGGCUCCAUCCCCCUGGCCACCUCAACCCCUAGAAUGGUUGUCUCCAUUUCAUGAGAAUCUUCACACUAACAUCAAGUAGCCAGUAGGUGCUUUUGGUUUUGCUAGAAUGCCUGUGUGCAAGCUCUCAGAUACCUGAUUUUCUUUCCCCCACUGAAUGUUGUGUUUGUCAGAAACUGAAAUCAUGGAUCAGAGCCAAGUUUGUAGUACCCUUAGGAGGGGCCUCUGCCCUCCUGUGUGCUGCCUGGGUGAGGACAGAACCCCCUAACCUGGAGCUCCACUUGAGUGGGCCCAUACCUGUACUUUCCUCUGAAAAAAGAAAAUCCUGCAAAGAAAAUAGAAGACAUCUGUUCUGCCAUUGCCAUGCCCUUGUUCUAGCCCAGACAUGAGAACUGUCAGAAUUGGAGUUACUAAAUAGAACUUUUAGUCUUUUUCUGAUAAUGUGUAGUAAAGUGUAUUACAACUUAUAGAAUUCUAUUUAGGGAACUACAGGUCAGAAACUACCAUAUUGGUAGCAGUCAAUUUUUCUUUGCCAUCGGAUGUGGAAUAAAAUGUUAAAUUG
RNAcentral lists this long non-coding RNA (3912 nucleotides) under Homo sapiens (human). RNAcentral's name for it is "HSALNT0358985". Lineage: Eukaryota; Metazoa; Chordata; Mammalia; Primates; Hominidae. The record is from RNAcentral.